ACCCCCCUAGUAUAACGUACAAGCGACUUCCACUCACUUAGUCCCAUGACCCCGUGGGGGGGGGUA
Molecule: transfer RNA, 66 nt
Filed under: Cyrtodactylus thirakhupti (Thirakhupts bent toed gecko)
Lineage: Eukaryota; Metazoa; Chordata; Lepidosauria; Squamata; Gekkonidae
Description: tRNA Gly
Source: RNAcentral